UGCAUGGGGGCACCCCCUCUCCCUCCGCGGUGUCCAUUCCCAGGGGCCGAGCUGAUCCAGCCCCUCCAGCCCCACAGCACUUUCUUCCACCCUCCAGAUGCCUGUUUGGGCCAGGAGACCCCUCCCCAGCCUUACUGCCCCUCAUCCCUUCGUGCCCUGGCACCCACCCAUUCUGUCAGCAGAGUGGGUGCAGCUGACGCGGUGCCCCUUGUCCCCCCCAGGACCAGGAGCAGUGCCGGGGGGAAGUGGAGGGGUGGGGGAGACCCUCCCAGCUGUGCGGGGCAGCUCUGCCAGGGCCGAGAUGUGGCCGGACCCUCCCGCUGCCGCGGAGAAACCCCGUGGCAGGCAGCGCCGUCAGCAGCUGGAGCUGGAGGCGCUUCGGGCCCGGCUGGCACAGGCAGAGCAGGACAUGGAAACUGUGCU
Long non-coding RNA from Alligator mississippiensis (American alligator), 423 nucleotides. RefSeq lists it as uncharacterized. The transcript has 3 exons. Lineage: Eukaryota; Metazoa; Chordata; Crocodylia; Alligatoridae. The record is from RefSeq and is a predicted model, not a curated record.